This is a long non-coding RNA of Bombus pascuorum, 1845 nucleotides long. RefSeq lists it as uncharacterized. The transcript has 3 exons. The record is from RefSeq and is a predicted model, not a curated record. Lineage: Eukaryota; Metazoa; Arthropoda; Insecta; Hymenoptera; Apidae.
CGAGACGAGUCGAUGGUAGAACUGCUUGGUCUAUCGAAGAGCAAGCAUCUUUUCGGAGAGAAAUCGUUUCAUUGACAAAUAAAACGCGCUUUACUUUUCGCUUAUGUUGAAUUUGAAAAUUGUCUCGAGAUGCAGUACCGUUAUAACAAUAUUAUUUGACUCAUUAAUUUAUUAAUUAUUAAUUGCAAUUAAUUUACCAAAUAAUUAAAGCUGUCCUUAGUAACAAAUUGUAUAUAAUAUUUUAUGCUUUCUUAUAGAUUUCUUCCAGCCUGCGUUUCCUCCAUGGGACUCGACGAUUCUAAUUUGAUGGCUUCGUCGCUUCACGAAAACUUCCCUUGAACCGUGAUGAUAUCAAUGACACAAUAUUCGUCCCAUCUAAACGUGUCGGCAAUCCCGCGGACGACACAUAGCGCGUCGACAGUACCUCUUCUCGGGAACUCUCAGGAAGAGUUCCUGGCUCAGGUUCCUCUCGACGAGGGCUUUGAUGUUCCCACACCUUGGUCGACACUGGCAGAGUACCAAUAAGCCUCAACGAGGUAGAGAGAAGGGGAUCCUUCCUAGAUUUGGGGAAGACCGCCACUGUAGCCACCUUUCAAAUUUUUGGUACCCCAUCCACGUCAGCAGUUUUUCCGGAGUUUAAUCGUCUGACGGCCUUCUUCACUUCAUCCCGCUAUACUACGAUGCUGAGCGCUUUAUUCUCGUUGCUGCCAUGGGUCAUUUCACCACCGAUUUCAUCAACCCGUGGGACAGGCUUCGUCUGGAAAAGCGUGCCUCAAGGAUUUUCGCCACUCCGCAGACACGAAGAUUUUUUGGUGGUACUCUCCUGCCCAUUCUAGCCAUCGCGGUCCAGUAAAGUCUCCCUUAAGAAUGGUCUCAGUCAAGGGUAGCGCAAAAAUGUUUCUCCUCUACUUUUUAGGCUAACUUUAGCUAUUUUCCUGCAUCCUUAAACCUUUCGCUUCAGGUGCCGCGUAUAAGCAGCGACCGCGCGACGUUUCCUGGGCUCGGCAGCCCAUAUAUCAGGCAUACACCAAUGCCAGUGAAUAAUAUAUUUUUUCGUUAUCGGCAGAACAUUUUCAAUUGAUUUUACUGAUAUAUUGGAUCAAUCACUUCUUAAAAGUUACUCAUUUUUGAAACGACAACAAUAAAAUUUCAAACAUCCAAACUAUCGUAUACUGUUUCGUGCUAAAAAAUCUGUUCAAUGCUUUGGUAGUGAAACGAUAUUUCAUAUACGGUUCUUACAAGAAUUAUUGUUAUUUAAGCCUUGGGAAAACGUAUAUACAGUAACCACGCACACUGUGCGCAUUUCUGGCGCGUGCUUCCGUGACAGUACUUUAGCGGACUGAACUGCCGAAGCGAAAGGGUUAAAGGUUCUAGUUUGUCAGCAUUAUUGGAAUUAUUUAUUCUUACCCCUUGGAUCUUUCUUCUACAUAGCAUUGUUUUUACCCUCAGUGCGGAUAGGUCUCCGUUCCACCAGUAGUUUGCACCCUUCCUCUCACCAAGGAGAACGUCUUUUGUAGUUUUGCAGCACUUGUUUUUCAAGACUCUCUUUAAACAAAUCUCCGUGUACCUUCUCGUCUACCAUAGCGUUGUCAAUUACUUUCUCAAGUUCUUCGUUAAAUUUAAGGAUAAAAUUAUCUGGGUCGAUGCCCUUCAUAGAAUAUUUAAAGCGACAGCUUUUUCUUCAAAAGUUUUACCAUAAAAUUCGCGAUAAACAUACUGGUGGUCGUAGCACACGAACUUGAUCCGAACCCAACCAGAAUCUCGCAAAAUAAUAUGCCAAAUGCAUAUUGUAAAUAUGUAAAUACUAAAAAUAACGUAGGUGUAAUAAAUGAGAUGCAAUUUUUA